AGUAUCUGAAGCAAAGAAGAAAGGGGGAGAUGGAGCAGAACUGCGAACAGGGGAGCGACGAGCCGCGCUACUGUCGCCGGUCACCUCGACGCCGUGCCCAGAUCGCGUCCAGCGCUCGUCACUGCCAUUCGUCCUCAGCCUCAUCACGUUCUUGUUCGGCCGCCGCUGCUUCCAUGUCCUCCAACGGCGCUGCUAUUGUUGCAGAUUGAGUCGCCGCGAAGAGGAGGAAAGGGCGUUGCUUCACACCUCGCCGCCGUCGCCAGUCGCGCGAGAGAGAGACGCGCCGUGAGGGGGUAGCCACCGCGCUCAGCCGCCAUCACUUCCUGCCACCAUCGGAGCUCGCGUCACUGUCACCCAUGGCCGUCACUUCUGCUGUGCUCCAUUCGGGUUCUGGGUUGAGCCACGCCGAAACCAGAACUGCGAACGUGAGGGAUGCGACGCAGGAGCCCGAUGCGAGAAAGAGGGAGCGCGCGUGCGCGCGCAGGGGAAGGGCGACGCUGCUGAGCUGCCGCCGCCACUGCCGUCGGAAGCUACCGUUAGAACCGCUACUGAUUUGGUGAGCCUUGCCCUAUUUCUGAUUCCUUGUUCUGCCAGUUUAUUUCUACCUUGGAGCAUGUCACUGAAAUUGUUUGUAUGGGAUGAGGUGAUUAUUGUAAAUUCCUUGCCGCUGCCGCCGCUGGAAUCACGGACCAAGGUGGUGGAGAAGGCCUUUUUCCCGCUGCUGCUAUAAUCGUUCUUACUGUUGCUGUUGUUUCGUUUGGUAAUUCAGUUCGAGUUCUGAUGAUUGCGUGUCGCAUAAGUGUUGCGGAGGCUGCUGUGCCAUUCCUUUUAUUUCAGAAGUAGUAACUGAGCUUAUAUGUGGCAUUGAGGCUGUUUCUACUUUUGAGAAAAAACACGCGAAGCCGGGACUUUGAUUGUCGACUUCGGGUUGAGGCGGGAAGGACUCUGUGACGCGUUUGGGUUAUGGAAUUGCGUUUUGAGGUAGGGGCGCUUUCCAAAA
Non-coding RNA from Arachis ipaensis, 1000 nucleotides. The record is from RefSeq and is a predicted model, not a curated record. Lineage: Eukaryota; Viridiplantae; Streptophyta; Magnoliopsida; Fabales; Fabaceae.